RNAcentral lists this ribosomal RNA (236 nucleotides) under uncultured bacterium. RNAcentral's name for it is "partial 16S ribosomal RNA". It matches the Rfam family "Bacterial small subunit ribosomal RNA", at positions 84 to 334 of the family's 1533-position model. The record is from RNAcentral.
CCAUGAGUACAGUGGCGCACGGGUGAGUAACACGUGACUAACCUACCCUGGAGUGGGGGAUAACUGAGGGAAACCUUAGCUAAUACCGCAUAAUACCUAUGGGUCAAAGGAGCAAUUCGCUUCAGGAGGGGGUCGCGGCCGAUUAGUUAGUUGGCGGGGUAAUGGCCCACCAAGACAGUGAUCGGUAUCCGGCCUGAGAGGGCGCACGGACACACUGGAACUGAAACACGGUCCAG